This is a long non-coding RNA of Thalassophryne amazonica, 182 nucleotides long. RefSeq lists it as uncharacterized. The record is from RefSeq and is a predicted model, not a curated record. The transcript has 2 exons. Lineage: Eukaryota; Metazoa; Chordata; Actinopteri; Batrachoidiformes; Batrachoididae.
GCACAGGUGGUGAUCUACGUGAAGGAGGUAGAGUAUAAUGGCAUCCAUUUCUCUCGGAAUGCGAGGGAUGUCAGCAUACAGGAGAACGCCACCAAAGGCACAGCUGUAGUCCAAGCUCAGGCCCAACAUCCAGAUGGCACACGGAAGGGUAUCAGCUAGAGUCUGUUCAGUGACAACAGGAA